RNAcentral lists this transfer RNA (86 nucleotides) under Felis catus (domestic cat). It matches the Rfam family "tRNA". From Rfam's summary of the family: Transfer RNA (tRNA) molecules are approximately 80 nucleotides in length. Their secondary structure includes four short double-helical elements and three loops (D, anti-codon, and T loops). Further hydrogen bonds mediate the characteristic L-shaped molecular structure. tRNAs have two regions of fundamental functional importance: the anti-codon, which is responsible for specific mRNA codon recognition, and the 3' end, to which the tRNAs corresponding amino acid is attached (by aminoacyl-tRNA synthetases). tRNAs cope with the degeneracy of the genetic code in two manners: having more than one tRNA (with a specific anti-codon) for a particular amino acid; and 'wobble' base-pairing, i.e. permitting non-standard base-pairing at the 3rd anti-codon position. The record is from Rfam by way of RNAcentral. Lineage: Eukaryota; Metazoa; Chordata; Mammalia; Carnivora; Felidae.
GCCUGGGUAGCUCAGUUGGUUAAGCAUCUGACUUCGGCUCAGGUCAUGAUCUCACAGGUUUGUGGGUUCAAGCCCUGCAUCAGGCU